CCUACGGGAGGCAGCAGUGGGGAAUAUUGGACAAUGGGCGAAAGCCUGAUCCAGCCAUGCCGCGUGUGUGAAGAAGGUCUUCGGAUUGUAAAGCACUUUAAGUUGGGAGGAAGGGUUGUAGAUUAAUACUCUGCAAUUUUGACGUUACCGACAGAAUAAGCACCGGCUAACUCUGUGCCAGCAGCCGCGGUAAUACAGAGGGUGCAAGCGUUAAUCGGAAUUACUGGGCGUAAAGCGCGCGUAGGUGGUUUGUUAAGUUGGAUGUGAAAUCCCCGGGCUCAACCUGGGAACUGCAUUCAAAACUGACUGACUAGAGUAUGGUAGAGGGUGGUGGAAUUUCCUGUGUAGCGGUGAAAUGCGUAGAUAUAGGAAGGAACACCAGUGGCGAAGGCGACCACCUGGACUAAUACUGACACUGAGGUGCGAAAGCGUGGGGAGCAAACAGGAUUAGAUACCCUGGUAGUCCACGCCGUAAACGAUGUCAACUAGCCGUUGGAAGCCUUGUAGUCUUUAGUUGGUCGCAGCGACGACGAUAAGUUAGUACCGCCGUCGGGAGGUAACGGUCCGGCGAACGGUUAAAACGUUAACGUUAAAGUUAGUAAGUUAGUUACGGCGUGGAGGACGUUCGCCGACGGACGACGACGAGGGGAGGUUAGG
Molecule: ribosomal RNA, 657 nt
Filed under: uncultured bacterium
Lineage: Bacteria
Description: bacterial SSU rRNA
Rfam family: Bacterial small subunit ribosomal RNA (bases 1-548)
Source: RNAcentral